This 492-nucleotide ribosomal RNA is filed under the name uncultured bacterium. Its description in RNAcentral is "partial 16S ribosomal RNA". It matches the Rfam family "Bacterial small subunit ribosomal RNA", at positions 28 to 507 of the family's 1533-position model. The record is from RNAcentral.
GGUGAACGCUGGCGGUAGGCCUAACACAUGCAAGUCGAAAGGCAGCACAGUAAGAGCUUGCUCUUACGGGUGGCGAGUGGCGGACGGGUGAGGAAUACAUCGGAAUCUACUUUUUCGUGGGGGAUAACGUAGGGAAACUUACGCUAAUACCGCAUACGACCUACGGGUGAAAGCAGGAGAUCUUCGGACCUUGCCCGAUUCAAUGAGCCGAUGCCGGAUUAGCUAGUUGGCGGGGUAAAGGCCCACCAAGGCGACGAUCCGUAGCGGGUCUGAGAGGAUGAUCAGCCACACUGGAACUGAGACACGGUCCAGACUCCUACGGGAGGCAGCAGUGGGGAAUCUUGGACAAUGGGCGCAAGCCUGAUCCAGCCAUACCGCGUGGGUGAAGAAGGCCUUCGGGUUGUAAAGCCCUUUUGUUGGGAAAGAAAAGCAGCAGGUUAAUACCCCGCUGUUCUGACGGUACCCAAAGAAUAAGCACCGGCUAACUUCGUG